Long non-coding RNA from Eriocheir sinensis (Chinese mitten crab), 672 nucleotides. RefSeq lists it as uncharacterized. NCBI's taxonomy places the organism in Eukaryota, Metazoa, Arthropoda, Malacostraca, Decapoda, Varunidae. The record is from RefSeq and is a predicted model, not a curated record. The transcript is spliced from 4 exons.
CAACUAACCAGGUUAACUCAUUCCCCUGGUCAACUAACCAGGUUAACUCACUCCCCUGGUCAACUAACCAGGUUAACUCAUUCCCCUGGUCAACUAACCAGGUUAACUCACUCCCCUGGUCAACUAACCAGGUUAACUCACUCCCCUGGUCAACUAGCCAGGUUAACUCACUCCCCUGGUCAACUAACCAGGUUAACUCACUCCCCUGGUCAACUAACCAAGUUAACUCACUCCCCUGGUCAACUAACCAGGUUAACUCACUCCCCUGGUCAACUAACCAGGUUAACUCACUCCCCUGGUCAACUAACCAGGUUAACUCACUCCCCUGGUCAACUAACCAGGUUAACUCACUCCCCUGGUCAACUAACCAGGUUAACUCACUCCCCUGGUCAACUAACCAGGUUAACUCACUCCCCUGGUCAACUAACCAGGUUAACUCACUCCCCUGGUCAACUAACCAGGUUAACUCACUCCCCUGGUCAACUAACCAGGUUAACUCAUUCCCCUGGUCAACUAACCAGGUUAACUCACUCCCCUGGUCAACUAACCAGGUUAACUCACUCCCCUGGUCAACUAGCCAGGUUAACUCACUCCCCUGGUCAACUAACCAGGUUAACUCACUCCCCUGGUCAACUAACCAGGUUAACUCAUUACUCUGGUCAACUAACCAGG